GACGAACGCUGGCGGCGUGCUUAACACAUGCAAGUCGAGCGGUAAGGCCCUUUCGGGGGUACACGAGCGGCGAACGGGUGAGUAACGCGUGGGUGACCUGCCUCUAGCUCUGGGAUAAGCCUGGGAAGCUGGGUCUAAUACCGGAUAUGACCUCGCGGUGCAUGUUGCGGGGUGGAAAGCCUUGUGCGGCUAGGGAUGGGCCCGCGGCCUAUCAGCUUGUUGGUGGGGUGANGGCCUACCAAGGCGACGACGGGUAGCCGGCCUGAGAGGGCGACCGGCCACACUGGGACUGAGACACGGCCCAGACUCCUACGGGAGGCAGCAGUGGGGAAUCUUGCGCAAUGGGCGAAAGCCUGACGCAGCGACGCCGCGUGAGGGAUGACGGCCU
RNAcentral lists this ribosomal RNA (388 nucleotides) under uncultured bacterium. RNAcentral's name for it is "bacterial SSU rRNA". It matches the Rfam family "Bacterial small subunit ribosomal RNA", at positions 28 to 417 of the family's 1533-position model. The record is from RNAcentral.